CUACGGGCCGCUGCAGUGGGGAAUAUUGGACAAUGGGGGGAACCCUGAUCCAGCGAUGCCGCGUGUGCGAAGAAGGCCUGCGGGUUGUAAAGCACUUUCGUUUGGGAAGAAAGUCUGAAGAAGAUGUGACGAAACCAAAAGAAGAAGCACCGGCAAACUCUGUGCCAGCAGCCGCGGUAAUACAGAGGGUGCAAGCGUUAAUCGGAGUUACUGGGCGUAAAGGGCGUGUAGGCGGAUAUGUAAGUCAGUUGUGAAAUCCCUGGGCUCAACCUAGGAAUGGCAAAUGAUACUGUGUAUCUAGAGAUUGAUAGAGGAAAGUAGAAUUUUCGGUGUAGUGGUUAAAUACGUAGAUAUCGAGAGGAAUACCGGAUGCGAAGGCGGCUUUCUGGAUCAAAUCUGACGCUGAGGCGCGAGAGCAUGGGUAGCAAACAGGAUUAGAUACCCUAGUAGUC
This 452-nucleotide ribosomal RNA is filed under the name uncultured bacterium. RNAcentral's name for it is "partial 16S ribosomal RNA". It matches the Rfam family "Bacterial small subunit ribosomal RNA", at positions 339 to 795 of the family's 1533-position model. The record is from RNAcentral.